CCGCUGAACUUAAGCAUAUCAAUAAGCGGAGGAAAAGAAACUAACAAGGAUUCCCCUAGUAACGGCGAGUGAAGCGGGAUGAGCUCAAAUUUGUAAUCUGGUGGACUCAGUUCAUCCGAGUUGUAAUCUAUAGAAAAGUUUUCCGCGCCGGACCGUGUCUAAGUCCCUUGGAACAGGGUGUCAGAGAGGGUGAGAAUCCCGUGCUUGAUACGACCACCGGUGCUAUGUGAUACUUUUUCAACGAGUCGAGUUGUUUGGGAAUGCAGCUCAAAAUGGGUGGUAAAUUCCAUCUAAAGCUAAAUAUUGGCGAGAGACCGAUAGCGAACAAGUACCGUGAGGGAAAGAUGAAAAGCACUUUGGAAAGAGAGUUAAACAGUACGUGAAAUUGUUAAAAGGGAAACGAUUGAAGUCAGUCGUGCUCUCUGGGACUCAGCCGGUUCUUCCGGUGUAUUUCCCAGUGAGCGGGUCAACAUCAGUUUAGAUCGCUGGAUAAGGUCAUUAGGAAUGUGGCUCCCUCGGGAGUGUUAUAGCCUAGUGUCGCAUACAGUGGUUUAGACUGAGGAACGCAGCUCGCCUUUAUGGCCGGGGUUCGCCC
RNAcentral lists this small RNA (595 nucleotides) under Holtermanniella festucosa. RNAcentral's name for it is "eukaryotic LSU rRNA". It matches the Rfam family "Eukaryotic large subunit ribosomal RNA", at positions 25 to 632 of the family's 3401-position model. Lineage: Eukaryota; Fungi; Basidiomycota; Tremellomycetes; Holtermanniales. The record is from RNAcentral.